This is a long non-coding RNA of Puntigrus tetrazona (Sumatra barb), 1874 nucleotides long. RefSeq lists it as uncharacterized. The record is from RefSeq and is a predicted model, not a curated record. NCBI's taxonomy places the organism in Eukaryota, Metazoa, Chordata, Actinopteri, Cypriniformes, Cyprinidae. The transcript is spliced from 2 exons.
UCAAUAAUGAAAUUCAUUUAACUGAAAAUGGAGUGUUAAAUCUGGUAAUUAUACAUUACUGACACUCUAUUCUUGUAUUUGAUGUUAAGUGCUUUGAAACAAUAUGUAUGGUUAAAAGCGCUACAUCAAUAAACUUGACUUGAAUGGAGCACCCAGGAAGAUCUCUCCCAUCUUUAACAAAAUAAUAAUAAAAAUAAAACCCACACUAAGCCACAAUAAUAAGUGUUAUAGUAAACAAUUGGAUUUUCUGUAUUUCCUUUAAAAAAAAAAAAAAAAAAAAACUAAAUAAAAAAAAAUCGAUAAUAAUAUUGAUAAUAUAAUAUAAAAGUAAUAUUGAUAAUAUUUGUUAAAAUUUUGCUGACUAUUGUAUUUCAUACAUAAGGAUUUUAUCCCAAAACUUGAUAAAUCAUAAGUCAUUACUAAAUUCCUUUUUAUUCGCAAAAUAACAAAAUAGUUUUGUGUUCACCCCGUCCUUAAAUCGACUUGGUAUGACCCGAGGGAGAGCCUGACAAACAGCCCCGCCCCAUUUAUAAAGAGCUUGGGCGGCGAAGAAACGUCCCACGACUAAGUUAUAAUUAGACCUGGUAUGCUAACAAGAUUAUUGUCGAUUGAACGCACAGCAAUAAAAACUGUGUCUGAGUAAAACAUCAAAACGCCUCCUUAGAUGAGCUCUCCCUCCCCUGAAGUCAUCCUCGGAUCAAUGUUGAUCCCUCCGCAGAACUCCCCAAACAAACGGAUCAGGGUGGAUUUUCCGAGAUCAAGUCCAUAAAUCCUCUUGGAAACCGAAUGGUGGGAUUCGUUCCUGUGUUUCUGAGCGCAGACCUUCCUCUAUCUCGCUGGAGAGCUGUCGGGACUCGGUACCGAUCCGUUUAAAGUUUAAUCUGGUAAAGAGGAGAGAAACAUGUUUAUCCGCAGCAGCGUCAGCCAUUUUGUGUUGAACUACAGUAGGCGCGCAAGGACAAAAUAGUGCCACUGUAGGGGCACCAAAACGCAGUGUGAUUUAAUUUACCCUUAUAGUUCAAAUCACAUAAACUGCUUAAAUUAACAAAAUAUGAAUUACUAUAUAAUUACUUAAUUGAUGUAAACUGUCCAACAUACACAAACGGUAUUAAUGACUAAUUCAUUAUUCGCACCUUUGUUGAAAACAAUUUUGUGUGUAGAGUUGUGUUACAUGUUUUACGGUGAGAUUAUGUAUGACUAAGCUAAAUGUAAGUAUUAUGUAUGACUAGGCUAAAUAAAAUCAGAUAUUAUCACAUGAUGAACAGAAGACGGAGCACAGAGAACAUUGUUUUUCUUUCGGUGUAGAUGAUCAUUUAUUUAUUGUAUUAAUUUACAACAAAUGCAUAACGUUAUGUCUACAAUUUGUUGCGAUGCAAGUUAAUUAUUUAAUCUGCAAAAUGUGGUUUCAUUCACCCUAUUUACAUCAAAUAAUGUUUUAGGAGAGGAAACAACCCUGAGGGACUCCAGUGCUAAGAGCGAGAGCCCUGGUUGUGAGUUUGCCCAGCCUCACUAAAACUGCUGCCUGUCUGUCAGAAAGCAGGUGAUACAUUGACAGACAGAGGUGAGCAGAGAGAGCUGUUUCACUUUGUCUGAGAGAAGGUCAGGCUUGUUGGUAUUGAAGACCAAACUGAGGUCCACACAUAGGAUCUCUGCGUAAUUCCCAGGCCUGUUGAGGUGUUGUAAGAUGAUCAUAGGUUGACUGCAUCAUCCACAGACUUGGGAGCGUUAGGACUUGACACCAGUAUGAUCGCAUUUAAAUGAAAGCAGUCUGCGCAGCCAACCUCUAUCAAGUUUUAGCUGCUGGGAUGUGUGUCUCUGUAGCAUCUCCUUAUCCUCCAUCAGCCGAUCCUGAUGAAGCUGGACAGACAUCUAAA